RNAcentral lists this ribosomal RNA (711 nucleotides) under Phytophthora cryptogea. Its description in RNAcentral is "eukaryotic LSU rRNA". It matches the Rfam family "Eukaryotic large subunit ribosomal RNA", at positions 81 to 618 of the family's 3401-position model. The record is from RNAcentral. Lineage: Eukaryota; Oomycota; Peronosporomycetes; Peronosporales; Peronosporaceae.
UAGUAACGGCGAGUGAAGCGGGAAGAGCUCAAGCUUAAAAUCUCCGUGCAAGUUUUGCGCGGCGAAUUGUAGUCUAUAGAGGCGUGGUCAGUGAGGGCGCUCGGGGCAAGUUCCUUGGAAGAGGACAGCAUGGAGGGUGAUACUCCCGUUCAUCCCUGGGUGGCUCUUGCGUACGACCCGUUUUCUUUGAGUCGCGUUGUUUGGGAAUGCAGCGCAAAGUAGGUGGUAAAUUCCAUCUAAAGCUAAAUAUUGGUGCGAGACCGAUAGCGAACAAGUACCGUGAGGGAAAGAUGAAAAGAACUUUGAAAAGAGAGUUAAAGAGUACCUGAAACUGCUGAAAGGGAACCGAAUCGUUUCCAGUGUCUAUAAUCCGUGGUAUAUUUCAUUGGUGAGUGUGUGCGUGCGUGUGCUUUGGCAGUGGCUUUUUUGGCUGCGCUGGGCGUGUGUGCUGUGUGUGCUUGCUGGUGCCCUGUGCUGCGGUGGGACGUCAAGGUCAGUUCGUAUGCUGCGGGAAAUGGCUGCCGAGGAGGUAGGGCUUACGCUCCGCGUUUGUCUGUUAUAUCUUGGUGGACGAGUCGUCGCGGUUGGGACUGAGGUGCCUACAACGUGCUUUUGAGUGAGUGUGGGUCUCCGUGUGCGCCGUGUGCGGAUAGCUUGCUAUGCGUGUGUGGUUGUGUGUGGAUUGAUGCGCGCUGUAACUUGUCGCCGUUC